GACGAACGCUGGCGGCGUGCUUAACACAUGCAAGUCGAACGGAAAGGCCCUGCUUUUGUGGGGUGCGCGAGUGGCGAGCGGGUGAGUAACACGUGAGUAACCUGCCCUUGACUUUGGGAUAACUUCAGGAAACUGGGGCUAAUACCGGAUAGGAGCUCCUGCUACAUGGUGGGGGUUGGAAAGAUUCGGCGGUUGGGGAUGGACUCGCGGCGUAUCAGCUUGUUGGUGGGGUAGUGGCUUACCAAGGCUCUGACGGGUAGCCGGCCUGAGAGGGUGACCGGCCACAUUGGGACUGAGAUACGGCCCAGACUCCUACGGGAGGCAGCAGUGGAGAAUAGUGCACAAUGGGCGGAAGCCUGAUGCAGCAACGCCGCGUGCGAGAUGACGGCCUGCGGGUUGUAAACCGCGUUCGCCUGUGACGAAGCGUGAGUGACGGUAACGGGUAAAGAAGCACCGGCUAACUACGUG
This 468-nucleotide ribosomal RNA is filed under the name uncultured bacterium. RNAcentral describes it as "partial 16S ribosomal RNA". It matches the Rfam family "Bacterial small subunit ribosomal RNA", at positions 28 to 507 of the family's 1533-position model. The record is from RNAcentral.